CCUACGGGAGGCAGCAGUGGGGAAUAUUGCACAAUGGGGCAAACCCUGAUGCAGCGACGCCGCGUGAGUGAAGAAGUAAUUCGUUAUGUAAAGCUCUAUCAGCAGGGAAGACAAUGACGGUACCUGUGUAAGAAGCCCCGGCUAACUACGUGCCAGCAUCCGCGGUAAUACGUAGGGGGCAAGCGUUAUCCGGAUUUACUGGGUGUAACGGGGGCGUAGACGGCAGGGCAAGUCUGGAGUGAAGGGCGGGGGCUCAACCCCCGGACUGCUCUGGAAACUGUACGGCUGGAGUGCAGGAGAGGUAAGUGGAAUUCCUAGUGGAGCGGUGAAAUGCGUAGAUAUUAGGAGGAACACCAGUGGCGAAGGCGGCUUACUGGACUGUAACUGACGUUGAGGCUCGAAAGCGUGGGGAGCAAACAGGAUUAGAUACCCUUGUAGUC
Molecule: ribosomal RNA, 440 nt
Filed under: uncultured bacterium
Lineage: Bacteria
Description: partial 16S ribosomal RNA
Rfam family: Bacterial small subunit ribosomal RNA
Source: RNAcentral